This 616-nucleotide long non-coding RNA is filed under the name Phoenix dactylifera (date palm). Its description in RNAcentral is "long non-coding RNA (PDAC_LNC014527)". Lineage: Eukaryota; Viridiplantae; Streptophyta; Magnoliopsida; Arecales; Arecaceae. The record is from RNAcentral.
UUGAACUUACGAAAGAUAAAAACGGGAAAAAGAAACUAGUAGUAAGUUGAAACAUAUACAGACUCAAAUUGAAGGUUAUAAUUCCAAAACGGCAGUCCCGUUUCUGGAUUCUAACCAUGUGUAGGAAGAGAGAGAGAAAGACACGCUUGGAGAGGCUCGAAUGCGUGCAGCAAUCGGUACUUUAGGAUGUACACUUAUAACAUAACAAUACUCAUUCAUCCACGCACUCUCUGAAAUGGUCCUGAGGGGACGGCGAACCGUGCGGAGAAAGAGCGUGACAGGUUCUCCGGCUCGACGGACGCCGAUCCUUCAUCAAAGUUCUGGGCAUAUGUGCAGGGAUCGUAAGGAACCUGCAUCGGGGCCGCCGAGUUAAAGAUCCUCCGUUUCUCCUUGAUGAUCCUCCGCCACCAACCCCGCCACCUCGUGCCGGUGGCCCGGGCCGAUGGGUACUCCAACUCAUCGUCGACCUCCCGGCUGAACCCGGAGCCCCACCGGCGGCCGUUGCCAACGUAACAGGACCUCUGCCUCUCGAGCUCUGCUCUGUAGUCCAUGGCCCUCAGCCCCUGCAAGGCUGGGCUCCAUGGGGUUAUGUCCGCAUUUAUAAGCAGGGUGUGGC